GCCCCGAUGGCUCAGUGGUAAAGCGUAUCACUAGUAGUCGCUAGUAAAAUGAUAAGAUCGUCAGUUCGAUUCUGGCUCGGGGCA
RNAcentral lists this transfer RNA (84 nucleotides) under Hirsutella minnesotensis 3608. It matches the Rfam family "tRNA". Rfam says of the family: Transfer RNA (tRNA) molecules are approximately 80 nucleotides in length. Their secondary structure includes four short double-helical elements and three loops (D, anti-codon, and T loops). Further hydrogen bonds mediate the characteristic L-shaped molecular structure. tRNAs have two regions of fundamental functional importance: the anti-codon, which is responsible for specific mRNA codon recognition, and the 3' end, to which the tRNAs corresponding amino acid is attached (by aminoacyl-tRNA synthetases). tRNAs cope with the degeneracy of the genetic code in two manners: having more than one tRNA (with a specific anti-codon) for a particular amino acid; and 'wobble' base-pairing, i.e. permitting non-standard base-pairing at the 3rd anti-codon position. The record is from Rfam by way of RNAcentral. Lineage: Eukaryota; Fungi; Ascomycota; Sordariomycetes; Hypocreales; Ophiocordycipitaceae.